ACGGCUGCUAAUACCCCAUAUGCCGCGAGGUGAAAUGAAUUUCGCCUGAGGAUGCGCUCGCGUCUGAUUAGCUAGUUGGUGUAGGUAAUGGCUCACCAAGGCAUCGAUCAGUAGCUGGUCUGAGAGGAUGAUCAGCCACACUGGGACUGAGACACGGCCCAGACUCCUACGGGAGGCAGCAGUGGGGAAUUUUCCGCAAUGGGCGAAAGCCUGACGGAGCAACGCCGCGUGAGGGAUGAAGGCCUCUGGGCUGUAAACCUCUUUUAUCAAGGAAGAAGAUCUGACGGUACUUGAUGAAUAAGCCACGGCUAAUUCCGUGCCAGCAGCCGCGGUAAUACGGGAGUGGCAAGCGUUAUCCGGAAUUAUUGGGCGUAAAGCGUCCGCAGGCGGCCCUUCAAGUCUGCUGUUAAAAAGUGGAGCUUAACUCCAUCAUGGCAGUGGAAACUGUUGGGCUUGAGUGUGG
RNAcentral lists this ribosomal RNA (463 nucleotides) under uncultured bacterium. Its description in RNAcentral is "bacterial SSU rRNA". It matches the Rfam family "Bacterial small subunit ribosomal RNA", at positions 156 to 651 of the family's 1533-position model. The record is from RNAcentral.